Molecule: unclassified non-coding RNA, 292 nt
Filed under: uncultured fungus
Lineage: Eukaryota; Fungi
Also listed under: 1 other name
Description: partial contains 5.8S ribosomal RNA, internal transcribed spacer 2, and large subunit ribosomal RNA
Rfam family: 5.8S ribosomal RNA (bases 1-52)
Source: RNAcentral
AACGCACCUUGCGCUCCUUGGUAUUCCGAGGAGCAUGCCUGUUUGAGUGUCAUUAAUAUACAUAUAUCAAGCCUUCUCUUGUAGAAGGGUUUGGAUGUGGGGGUUUGCUGGCCUCUUAAUCUUAAGAGUUCAGCUCUCCUGAAAUGCAUUAGCAGAACAACCUUAUGUUCAUUGGUGUGAUAACUAUCUACGCUAUUGAAUGUUGAGAGGGAAGUUCAGCUUUCUAACGGUCCCUUGGACAACUCAUCAUUAAUGUGACCUCAAAUCAGGUAGGACUACCCGCUGAACUUAA